Molecule: long non-coding RNA, 1025 nt
Organism: Eubalaena glacialis (North Atlantic right whale)
Lineage: Eukaryota; Metazoa; Chordata; Mammalia; Artiodactyla; Balaenidae
Exons: 3
Source: RefSeq, a predicted model, not a curated record
GAGCGACGCGUUGCGCCAGGAGCUCCUCUGGUCCGGCGUGUGGCAGGAAACUAUUGUUUAUUGAUUAUUUUCACUGAAACUACUUGGCAUAGUCGGCAGGAUAUCAGAAAAACCCGCCUGAGGUCACCUGGAUCUACUUUGGACCGGUGCUCGGGAGACCAAGCCUGGGCCCUUUGAGCCCCUCCGGCUUCAAAGCACCCUUCAGGUGCUUUGGAUAUUCCAAGCUUGCUUCUGAAGCCGAUCACAGUGUUCUAUCUUCGGAUGAAGAUCAGAUGCUCCAUGACCUGCACCUAGGAGACUGGGAAUACUGGAAAAGAUAUCAUUUAAAGGACUAUCUCAAACCUAAAAGGAAGGAUCCUUAUCAGGUACUCUAAACUAGCUCAUGCACAGUAAAACUGGAGGGAAUUAACUCUUCAAUUUUUAUUUCUCACUUAAAAAGGGCCUCUGCAUCAGACUGGUCUAAAGAGGGGACUGCUGACCUCAAAGUCACCUUAAAACAACCAUCAAGCUAGGACGAGAAGACGAUGACCACAGUGGUGGACAGCUGACCCAAGAAUCCAGGCCAAGCCUGUAAGACCCAUCCUACUAGUUCGAUUGAACUGUUAUUCAAAUGUUUGUCUCCCUAUCAAAACUGAAAGUUACUCUUUUACUUCUAGCUAUACUUUUGCCCCAAUAUUGAGGAUGGAAAGAAAAUUCUUUAGUAAAGUUGUCACAAAGCAUAGCUACUGGGAUAGGCCCCUCAUAAUACCUGUCACUGACUUUUCAGAUGUUGCUAAUGUUACCACUCACCCAGACCAACCUGUCUCUGACCUAAUCUUUCAGGUUUAAAUUCUUCAACGUAUUAAUAUGGCUAUUCCUUGUCUGAUACUAUCUUCAGUCCCUAGAGACUGAGCAAUACUUACCCCAGGACCCCCUCCCUCUGUCCCUUACUUAACUGAAAAAUGUCUUAAUAGCUGACAAAUAGAAGGUUUAUAUUUAUUAGAAUAUUAUGUUAUCCCAUUGUCUAUACAUCAGGAAAUAAAUGA